RNAcentral lists this long non-coding RNA (452 nucleotides) under Physcomitrium patens. Its description in RNAcentral is "long non-coding RNA (PPAT_LNC001207)". Lineage: Eukaryota; Viridiplantae; Streptophyta; Bryopsida; Funariales; Funariaceae. The record is from RNAcentral.
UAGAAAUGAACCCAAAAACAAAACUUGGUCGAAGAAUUCAAAAAUAGUAUAAACAAUCAAAUCUUUGCAAAUUUGGUGCAUGAAAGCACAAUUCAUAUACAAGGUGCAAAUCUUUAAAUUAUGAAUCUAUAAACAACACUGCUUUCAUGCUUUUAAUUAAAAAAUUAUCAAAUUGGUGAUACCAAUUUAGUUUCGUGUACAAGUUGGCUGAAUCACAACCAUGGUAAGCUCAUAUUUUUUUUGUAAGAAAAUAAUGUAGGAGGAGAAUGUCAUUUAUAUCUCCCACACCAAUGUUAUUAGUUUCAAUUUCUUAUUUCUAACAUUUUGCUUUGUACACUUCUAACUUCCUCACAACAACUCCUCUGUCAAGAUAAAUGUGUUCACUUGGAUUUUUACUAAUGAACCAUCAACAUCAGAGGAUAUGAAAAAUGAAUUCAAACUUGACCAAAUUC